AGUCUCGUGGGGCAAUGGUAGCCCGCCUCACUCAUACUUGUAUCUUGAGUACAGGCGAUGCUGGUUCGAUUCCAGCCGAGACGG
Molecule: non-coding RNA, 84 nt
Organism: Hypoxylon cercidicola
Lineage: Eukaryota; Fungi; Ascomycota; Sordariomycetes; Xylariales; Hypoxylaceae
Source: the annotation of a GenBank genome assembly